AUCUGAACAGGUGCUUGCUGAUCUGUAGUUCACUUCCUCUUGGCUGCUUUCAAGAUUGAUUUUCUCCUUGAUUGCAAAACCCUGAAAUCUGUAUGAUGAUCGCUGACUAUUAUAGAAAAGACUUCUUGAAAAAAGCUAAAACAAAACAACAACAAAAACCAGCUAGAGUCAAGAAUGCUGUAGUAUAUGAUUGUGAUGGAAUAUUAUUAUACUAAGAAAUGAUAAGCAGGAUGAUUUCAGAAAAACCUGGAAAGAUUUGCAGGAACUGAUGCAAAGUGAAGUGACAGAAUCAGGAGAAUGUUUUACACAAUAA
Molecule: long non-coding RNA, 313 nt
Organism: Antechinus flavipes (yellow-footed antechinus)
Lineage: Eukaryota; Metazoa; Chordata; Mammalia; Dasyuromorphia; Dasyuridae
Exons: 2
Source: RefSeq, a predicted model, not a curated record